Hemicordylus capensis (graceful crag lizard) is the source of this 4274-nucleotide long non-coding RNA. RefSeq lists it as uncharacterized. Lineage: Eukaryota; Metazoa; Chordata; Lepidosauria; Squamata; Cordylidae. The record is from RefSeq and is a predicted model, not a curated record. The transcript has 3 exons.
UGUGGGAUGAGAAUAUGUUAAGUUGCCUGUUGAAAUGUUUCUGCCAAUACAUAUUUGCAUAAAUAUACCUGUUUUAUAUUCUUGCAUUCUUGUGAGUUCAGUUGCUGUUUGUGCCCUCAAGAACCCACAUGUUAAAAAUACUGCGUGUGUCAUGGCGUGUGUGUGGUGGUGGUGGGCCUCCAAAGUUGGGGGGUGGGCUCCAAAGGCCUUUAGGUCCAGCCUCCAAAAUUACCUAGGUGCAUCUCUGGACACAGAGGAAAGCCAGCACCCCACCCCCCCCGCCCCCAGUGUGGCUUUUCCUUUUGAGAGGCUAUGAAGCUUGGGGCAUCGCAAUGUGGCAUCCCUGUUGCCAGGCAAUGUCUGGAGGAGUGUGGUGACCGUGGGGAGCAGGGCAAGUGCUCCCAGCGAGAAGUGUGGUCGGCAGAGAGCUGGGGCAUCUCUGGCAUGGGCCGAGCUGCCCUCUCUGUGGUUUGGGCAGCAGCCACAGCACCGUUCCCUUUAGUGAUCGGGCUGGCGUCUUUUGCACACAUUUCCUGGGAAUAAGCCCCAUUGAACGUAGGAGUGACUUCUCGGACACAGCGUGAAGAAACACGCAUGCAGAGUGUUGGCGAGAGAGAGAAUGAGAGGGAGGGAGCAGAGGUGGGCUGGGAGAGCAUCUGCGGAAUGUUCAGAGGGUGAUUUCAAUAAUGACAGUUGGAGGCAGUUAGGAGUCAUAGAGGUACAGAGCAGGGUUGGAGAACAGCAACUCUGGCUCUAGAAAGGAGGCCCAAACAGUCUGUGUCGAGUCUGACUUCUUUUGACAACAUUGUCGUGAAGUUUAUGUGCCCUGCGUUGCGGAGACCCUUCUUGCCAUCUUUUGUAAAUAAUACACUCAUUGUUUUUACACUUGCAAGCUUUGUUUCUUUUUUUUGAGGCACUGAACAUAUAUGCCUAUCCUGUGCUCACAAGGCUGUGACCAAGAGGUUAUUUAUUGAGAGCAGGGUAAUAGGCAACCAUAUGGUGGCAGCAAAAGAAAGUAAUAACUUAUUAAAUUCCAUGAAUGUGGUGACACAAUUGAUAUAAAAACCAUUAAAUAAAUCACCUCCCUGGACUUGGGGGGUGGGUAUCAGGGUGGGUUCCUGACACACAUAUUGGGGCAAAAUAGGGUUUUAUAGGCUGAAACAACCACUGAAUUUUGUCCAGAAAGUAGGAAGGCAAAAGCCAGAACAGAAGCUGGAGUCUGGUUUCCAAAAACUCCAAGGUAGCUCCAUGCAAAUUUCAGUAGCCUAGCUUCAACCUUAAUGUGGAAUGAAUCAGUUUUAUUGAAGGAAGAGUUUGGCACAACUUCAUUUUUUGACCAACGAGUAUACCCCUUAGGUUCUGGCAACAAUGCGCCUGGAGCAUCAAUGGAGGAUUUUCUGUUCAGCAGCAGUAGGCGAAAAUAUCUCUUUUUAAAAAUAAAGGCUAAAGAGGAUGAUGAUUAGACAAGGUGUUUAAUGCACUGGCUCUUUAGGUUUGUUUGGGAAGGAAGUCUGAAACCCCUCAUGUGCACGAUAAGAGAUGGCGCUAAGCUGGAUGUUGAACAAAGAGUUGCUGCAGCUCCAUGUAUGUUUGCUGCCACAGAGGCCAUUUGUUAAAUGGACGCUGCUGACAGAACAGCAUAAAUGUGCUUGAUGGAGAAAAAUGUGGCAGAAGAGCCAGUGGACUGCAAUGAAGACAGACAGGUGUUAUUGACUGGUUUGUUUUUACCAGACAUCGAGUCCUUCCCAAGGACCUGAGAUGGCUGAAUUUUAUCAUCAUCAUCAUCAUCAUCAUCAUCAUCAUCAUCAUCAUCAUCAAAUACCCACAAUACUUUGCUGUUGGCGAGAACUGCAGUUGAAUGCCAUGGAGAAUAUCAGUGCUAUUCAAUCGGAUUGUCAGGGAUCUACCCCUUCACCUGGCCAGCUGCCCCCCAGGGCUGUCCUGUGGACUUGCUGCUCCCAGCAGUAUUACAGCACUCAUGGGGGCCCCUGCUGCUGCCCAGCAACAAACACUCUUCUAGAUCUGGCAGGGAUGGAUCAGUACUGGCUCAUCAUAGAGGAACCCACAACCUAUUCUCACCCUCCAGGGCCCACACAAGCUAGAGACAGCCCUGCUGAGGAGGACACAACUGAAGAGGCCCUGCUACAUUCAUGCCUGCUACUGCAGUCUCCAGAACCAUCUGGCUGGCUACUGUCGGGGGCACUGCAGGAUCACAUGGACUCUGGAGCUGAAAGAUUACCUUCCUCCCUGCCUCUGCUGGCUGCAGAUGAUGACCUGGAGCAGAGGUGAAGCAGAACACACCGCAGCGACAUUGGGACCCAAGGGAGGGUGUGCUACGCACUGCAGAGGACACGUGUCUGCCCCCACGUGUCUUAGAACCAGCAAUUCCACCGCAAGGGACAGAGUCCUUUCCAACAAGACUCUCCUGGGCUGGUUUUUAAGAAAGGUGCAACUUUGCAUCUCGGUGAGGGGCCAAUGGAAACAAGCCCCUUCCCAAAUCCCAAUAGAGUCUCACAGGCAGCACAGCCUCCAGCAGCCUUGGGGAGACUGGGGUGGUUGUAGUGGGGGGAGGGGGUCAUGAGGGCCAGGUGAAAAAAAAGAAGGCUGCGUAGGUAACAGUCACUAUACCUCUUUCCCCAUUUGUCCAUCCGAGCCUGGCUCACCCUGGGAAGAAAGGAAGGAAAAAAGAAAGAAAGAAAGAUGUUUAACGUCUAGCCCCGUUAUGUCUGCAGUGAUCCAGAGCGGCCCCCUGAACUGUCGUUGUGACUGCAUCUCCCCCGUCAGAGCUACCGUGGCUUUUAAAAAAACCCAUCAGAACGUUUGCAGAGCGGCUGAAGGGGUGGAGCCCCCGACCUCUCGAUCUGCUGCACUCACCGGUGGGCCUGGAUGGCCUGGUGGGCCUGGCUGGCCUGGAAUCCCACCCAUGCCUCUUUCUCCAGGAGUUCCCCUCUCACCCUUCAGUCCCUGGGGAAGAGAAGACGGAGAAGUCAGGUGGCUAGCAGAGGCGGCUGAGCUGGGAGGACUCCGUUGCUGGAGCUCUCCCUCCUCCCUGCCUCUAGAAGUCAAUUAUGCCGAUGCCUCCUGCUUACAUAUGCCGGCACUCCAAUGGGUGGUGCUGAACCCCUGACCACCUCCUCCACCCUGGGCUCUGCUAGCCCAAGAUUGCUUCUUGUAGAUUGGGGGGGGGUCCCCUGUUGUUGUCGAACUACUGUAUUUACCUGAAUAGAAGACAACCCUGAAUUUAAGACAGCCACUUUAAAAACAGAGGUUAAAUACAGGUUAUACCUGUAUUUACCCUAAAGGCAUAGCACUCUGAAUUUAAGAUCCCUUCCCCUCCAAUUUCUAACAUCAGGUUAAUACAGUACAGUACAACUUUUGCCAUCCCCAAUUCCAUUCCAACAACAUCUAGGGACCCGCAGUUGGGAACCCAUAUUGUAGAUCACUCCAGAAUCUGACACAUGGUGUGAAAUGGGUAACUGUCGUAACUACUCCAGGGCCAGUUUGAACAACCUUGGUUUUGUGGGUCAGAGCAAAACAAGUUGACAGUCCAUAGAUAUUUACUGAACUGCUCUUGCAAAUACUACUUUUGUUAAUUUGACUGUAACUUUGUUGUUGUUAGCUGCCAGGUUUCCACUGAGAAAGGAGGGAUAUAAACUGAACAAAACAAAACAAACAAAACAAAACAAAACAAAAAUAAUACAUUAGUGUCAAACUAUCAACUCUGUGCAUCCUGUUUUUUAAAAAAAAACUUUCAGAGAUUUCUAGUAUGUGUUGAGUUGGGUCUGAAUCAUCCAGAGGCCCGGUUCAACACACAGAAAUCAACUGAAGUUGGUAACACAGGUUUUGGUUAACACAUGAAAAAUGGUGGUGGGGAUUGGCCCUGCAUCCAGUUUCAUUUCAGCUGGCAAUAUUACUGGAUGCUACCAGGGGAGAAGGAAACAUGGGGGUGGUGCUUGUGGUGGUAGCGAUGCACCUUCCGUCAUGUCAAGAUUGUGUCCUGCUCCAGGCACUACCACAGUCUCUUCUGUAUCUGGGACCAGGGAUGCUCAGCCCUUGGACAGCUCCCAAGGCAACAGGUCAGGACCAUGGUCAGUGAAGUUGCUCCAACUUGUGCCUCUUGGCAAACUGCUGGGUUUUGUACCUGCUGUUCAGGCAAAGGGACUUGGCCCUGUCCCUUCAAGUAGCAGCCUUUGAUCUCUACAGGGGCCUUGCCCUGUUUUGAAGGUGCCCACUCUGACAGCAAUGGGGAGGGGGGCUUCACCAUGGCUGGGAGU